UCAGACGAUGCGUCAUGCAUAUCAAUAAGCGGAGGAAAAGAAACUAACAAGGAUUCCCCUAGUAACGGCGAGUGAAGCGGGAAGAGCUCAAAUUUGAAAUCUUAAAGGGUUUCCCUUUACGAAUUGUAGUUUAAAGAAGUGUUUUCUGUUGAGGUUUUGGUAAAAGGUUCUUUGGAAUAGGACAUCAUAGAGGGUGAGAAUCCCGUAUUUGACCUUUACUUUCAACUUUGUGAUACACUUUCAAAGAGUCGGAUUGUUUGGGAAUGCAGUCCAAAAUGGGUGGUAAAUUUCAUCUAAAGCUAAAUAUUGGCGAGAGACCGAUAGCGAACAAGUACCGUGAGGGAAAGAUGAAAAGAACUUUGAAAAGAGAGUUAAACAGUACGUGAAAUUGUCAAAAGGGAAGCGUUUGACACCAGUGUUGUUUUUCUGAAAAUCAAUUAAAGAACUGUUUAUGCUAAGUUGUUUAGACUUUAUCAACUAACUGUUUAGUUUUGAGCUUUUCUUUAAUGCACUUUUCAGUUAACAAGUCAACAUCAAUUUCUUUUGCUGUAAAAAAGCUUGAGGAAGGUGGCUUGAGAUUCGUCUUAAGUGUUUAUAGCCUCUUGCCUAUGCAGUCGGAGAGAUUGAGGUCUGCAGCGUAGAUCCUUCGGGGCUAAAUGCAUUUGUGCUAAGUUAUAGCAUUUUAUAGACAACUUGUUGACUAUGAUUUGUCUUGUAGCUUACUCGCUUAUGUUAUUUUACCUACGCUUAGGAUGUUGAGCGCAUGUCUCUCUCU
Molecule: ribosomal RNA, 775 nt
Filed under: uncultured Neocallimastigales
Lineage: Eukaryota; Fungi; Neocallimastigomycota; Neocallimastigomycetes; Neocallimastigales
Description: partial large subunit ribosomal RNA
Rfam family: Eukaryotic large subunit ribosomal RNA
Source: RNAcentral